ACUUGUUUGGUGCAGUGGUCAGUGCGCUUGGCUGAAGGACCAGAGGUUGGGGUUCAAUUCCCUCUGCCAGCU
Dallia pectoralis (Alaska blackfish) is the source of this 72-nucleotide non-coding RNA. The record is from the annotation of a GenBank genome assembly. NCBI's taxonomy places the organism in Eukaryota, Metazoa, Chordata, Actinopteri, Esociformes, Umbridae.